GUAAAGCUAUAAAAUGACUGUGGCCUGCCACAGAAGAUGAAGAUGAGGAAGAAGAGGAAUGCUCUCGAGGAUAAAUGCAGAGUGGCAGGUUACCUUCGGUCCUUCAUUGAAAAUGCAUCUUGUGCACAACAAAAAGCCCUCAUCAAGUUUUGGACAGGAUGGGAAGUCUUGCCGAGAAAUGACUGUGGAAGUGGUCAACAGCAAUCUUCCAAAGUCUUCCACCGGUUUUGAAGUACUACGUCUUCCUGCACACUACUGUACCUAUGAGUCAUUUCUAAUGGACAUUCAGGUGUGUCUCAACUCUGACUCAGGUUUUGGUCUGGUUUACGAUUGAUUCCAUAACCACAUGGUAAAAUUAGACCAUUUCUUCUUUCUUGCAUCACAUUACUGUACUUGGUGUUCAAAGAAACGGACAAUCUAGUGAGUUCUAGUUCUUUUUAAUACACUUGACAGUGAAAAAUACAGAGUACAGGUGUGCAUUUAUGGCUUUUUUUAAUAUAAACUGAUGAAGAGUUCAGAUAUCAAAAUCAGUUGUUCACUGUACAUUAUAAAUUACACAGUAUGUUUUGUUUAUACUCGCUACUGAUACAAAAAAAAUUUCUAGAAAAAAUUAUUUGAAUUAAGAUGUUACACUACUGUACUGUGUUCAUUGUAUUAAAUCUGCUCAGAGUUGACAUGUACUGUAUAUCCAACCAAGAGAUGAAUAUCAUUAAAGUGACAGC
This is a long non-coding RNA of Astatotilapia calliptera (eastern happy), 722 nucleotides long. The record is from Ensembl. Lineage: Eukaryota; Metazoa; Chordata; Actinopteri; Cichliformes; Cichlidae.